This is a long non-coding RNA of Gopherus evgoodei (Goodes thornscrub tortoise), 115 nucleotides long. RefSeq lists it as uncharacterized. NCBI's taxonomy places the organism in Eukaryota, Metazoa, Chordata, Testudines, Testudinidae. The transcript has 3 exons. The record is from RefSeq and is a predicted model, not a curated record.
CUCUUUCCUAAUGAUUUAACACAGAGGUCUCAAACUCAAAUCACCACGAGGGCCACAUGACGACUAGUACAUUGACCCAAGGGCCGCAUUACUGACACCUUUUCAUACAAAGAUA